RNAcentral lists this ribosomal RNA (255 nucleotides) under uncultured bacterium. RNAcentral's name for it is "partial 16S ribosomal RNA". It matches the Rfam family "Bacterial small subunit ribosomal RNA", at positions 524 to 777 of the family's 1533-position model. The record is from RNAcentral.
UACGUAGGUGACAAGCGUUAUCCGGAUUUAUUGGGCGUAAAGCGCACGCAGGCGGCUGAUUAAGUCUGACGUGAAAUCUCUCGGCUUAACCGGGAGCGGUCGUUUGGAAACUAAUUGGCUUGAGGCGAUGAGAGGGGUGUGGAAUUCCCGGUGUAGAGGUGAAAUUCGUAGAUAUCGGGAGGAACACCAGUGGCGAAGGCGGCGAUCUGGGAAGAUACUGACGCUGAGGUGCGAAAGCGUGGGGAGCAAACAGGG